GACGAACGCUGGCGGCGUGCUUAACACAUGCAAGUCGUACGGUAAGGCCCUUUCGGGGGUACACGAGUGGCGAACGGGUGAGUAACACGUGAGUAACCUGCCCACAACUUUGGGAUAACGCUAGGAAACUGGUGCUAAUACUCGAUAUGUGCUCCUGCUGCAUGGUGGGGGUUGGAAAGCUCCGGCGGUUGUGGAUGGACUCGCGGCCUAUCAGCUUGUUGGUGGGGUAGUGGCCUACCAAGGCGGCGACGGGUAGCCGGCCUGAGAGGGUGACCGGCCACAUUGGGACUGAGAUACGGCCCAGACUCCUACGGGAGGAAGAAGUGGGGAAUAUUGCACAAUGGGCGCAAGCCUGAUGCAGCAGCGCCGCGUGCGGGAUGACGGCCUUCGGGUUGUAAACCGCUUUCAGCAGGGACGAAGCUUUUUGUGACGGUACCUGCAGAAGAAGCACCGGCUAACUACGUG
RNAcentral lists this ribosomal RNA (465 nucleotides) under uncultured bacterium. RNAcentral's name for it is "partial 16S ribosomal RNA". It matches the Rfam family "Bacterial small subunit ribosomal RNA", at positions 28 to 507 of the family's 1533-position model. The record is from RNAcentral.